ACACACAUUCACCCCCCUUCUACUCAUCUUCUCCAAACCACCUUCCGUAAUCCUAAACCACCAAAACUCCAUAAGUGCCCGUCCCACCUUCAACCAAACAACCACCCCUUCCCACCUUCUUCCCCGCUGUCACGCAAAACCACCAUGAACACCCACGAAACCAAGCAGUCCCCCAGCAUCCCCCUUCUACUCAUCUUCUCCAAACCACCCUCCCUAACCCUAAACCACCAAAACUCCAUAACUGCAUGUCCCACCUUCAACCAAACAACCACCAUUUCCCGCCUUCUUCCCCGUUGUCACGCCAAACCACCAUGAACACCCACGAAACCAAGAAGUCCCCCAUCAUCAACUAACACGUCGCCCCAACAGUCAGUUCCCCACGACGCUAACCGGCAGUCCCACGCCGACCCCAGCGAACCAGCCACCCCCCAUGGCGCUAACCAGCAAACCCUGAACGUUGCUCACUUAAACGUCCCACCUUAUCUACUUGUCUGUUUGGUCUUCACAAGACACAAACAAAAAAGAACCUAGAAACCUAGACCAAAGCUUUAGCCAUUUGAAUCCAAAGUAGCGGCUUCCUCUCAUUCACAGUAGUUCUGCCAUUUCCAUGGUCGUCAUUGCCAUCGAAGGUGAUGACUGGUGUUGGCCAUGGCUGCUUCACCAUAAUUAUUUUCUUUUCCUUCACCUAUAACGUGUAGAUUUGGCCAGAAACAUCCAAGUUUCGAUAAUUCUCAGGCCCCCGAGUCACUACUUGGUUUGUUCGUUGAUUGUUAGUUCCGUUCGAGUUCAUAGAGAGCCCGUUUGAGGUCGUAGACUGAGUUUCACAUUCGUCAUUCCAUUCUAGCUCUGUUGUUUGGGUUCGUUCCAUUCCGUUUGAGGUUUUUGGAUAGAUUUGAAUACGUCGAGCUAAGGUCUCCGGUCCAAAAAUUUGGUUCGAUGUUGAUUAAAGUCAUUGUUCAAAGAUUCGAGUUUCCGUCAAAGUCCGGGCAGAUUUGUUUUUAGUUCGAGUUUGUCGUUGUUCUGAUCUGGUUAGCUGGUUUAAUUUUUGCUCUUUGUUGUUCAUUUUAGUUUAAAUUGAAUUGAAUUUGAUUAAGAAUUUGGUUAUAGCUGUAGUAAGUUGGUGUUCUUUCUGAUAAUUUUGGUACAGAUUGUAGGGAUGGGGUGGAAUGCUAAUUUUCAAUAAUUUCA
This 1188-nucleotide long non-coding RNA is filed under the name Nicotiana benthamiana. RNAcentral's name for it is "long non-coding RNA (NBEN_LNC007766)". The record is from RNAcentral. Lineage: Eukaryota; Viridiplantae; Streptophyta; Magnoliopsida; Solanales; Solanaceae.